UACGAAGGGGGCUAGCGUUGCUCGGAAUUACUGGGCGUAAAGCGCACGUAGGCGGGUCAAUAAGUCGGGGGUGAAAUCCUGGAGCUCAACUCCAGAACUGCCUCCGAAACUGCUGAUCUUGAGUUCGGGAGAGGUGAGUGGAACUGCGAGUGUAGAGGUGAAAUUCGUAGAUAUCAGGAGGAACACCUGCGGUGUAGACGGCUUACUGGACCAUAACUGACGCUGAGGCACGAAAGCGUGGGUAGCAAACAGG
RNAcentral lists this ribosomal RNA (253 nucleotides) under uncultured bacterium. RNAcentral's name for it is "partial 16S ribosomal RNA". It matches the Rfam family "Bacterial small subunit ribosomal RNA", at positions 524 to 776 of the family's 1533-position model. The record is from RNAcentral.